GACGAACGCUGGCGGCGUGCUUAACACAUGCAAGUCGAGCGGUAAGGCCCUUUCGGGGGUACACGAGCGGCGAACGGGUGAGUAACACGUGGGUGACCUGCCCUCAGCUCUGGGAUAAGCCUGGGAAACCGGGUCUAAUACCGGAUAUGACUCCAUGACGCAUGUUGUGGGGUGGAAAGCCUUGUGCGGCUGAGGAUGGGCCCGCGGCCUAUCAGCUUGUUGGUGGGGUGAUGGCCUACCAAGGCGACGACGGGUAGCCGGCCUGAGAGGGCGGACGGCCACACUGGAACUGAGACACGGUCCAGACUCCUACGGGAGGCAGCAGUGGGGAAUUUUUCGCAAUGGGGGCAACCCUGACGAAGCAACGCCGCGUGGGGAUGAAGGUCUUCGGAUUGUAAACCCCUGUCGACCGGGACGAAUGUAGAACGGCCUAAUACGCCGAGCUAUUGACUGUACCGGUGGAGGAAGCCACGGCUAACUCUGUGCCAGCAGCCG
This 495-nucleotide ribosomal RNA is filed under the name uncultured bacterium. RNAcentral describes it as "bacterial SSU rRNA". It matches the Rfam family "Bacterial small subunit ribosomal RNA", at positions 28 to 517 of the family's 1533-position model. The record is from RNAcentral.